GAGUUGCGAACGGGUGAGUAACGCGUAGGUAACCUGCCUUGUAGCGGGGGAUAACUAUUGGAAACGAUAGCUAAUACCGCAUAACAAUGGAUGACACAUGUCAUUUAUUUGAAAGGGGCAAUUGCUCCACUACAAGAUGGACCUGCGUUGUAUUAGCUAGUAGGUGAGGUAAUGGCUCACCUAGGCGACGAUACAUAGCCGACCUGAGAGGGUGAUCGGCCACACUGGGACUGAGACACGGCCCAGACUCCUACGGGAGGCAGCAGUAGGGAAUCUUCGGCAAUGGGGGCAACCCUGACCGAGCAACGCCGCGUGAGUGAAGAAGGUUUUCGGAUCGUAAAGCUCUGUUGUAAGUCAAGAACGGGUGUGAGAGUGGAAAGUUCACACUGUGACGGUAGCUUACCAGAAAGGGACGGCUAACUACGUGCCAGCAGCCGCGGUAAUACGUAGGUCCCGAGCGUUGUCCGGAUUUAUUGGGCGUAAAGCGAGCGCAGGCGGUUUGAUAAGUCUGAAGUUAAAGGCUGUGGCUCAACCAUAGUUCGCUUUGGAAACUGUCAAACUUGAGUGCAGAAGGGGAGAGUGGAAUUCCAUGUGUAGCGGUGAAAUGCGUAGAUAUAUGGAGGAACACCGGUGGCGAAAGCGGCUCUCUGGUCUGUAACUGACGCUGAGGCUCGAAAGCGUGGGGAGCGAACAGGAUUAGAUACCCUGGUAGUCCACGCCGUAAACGAUGAGUGCUAGGUGUUGGAUCCUUUCCGGGAUUCAGUGCCGCAGCUAACGCAUUAAGCACUCCGCCUGGGGAGUACGACCGCAAGGUUGAAACUCAAAGGAAUUGACGGGGGCCCGCACAAGCGGUGGAGCAUGUGGUUUAAUUCGAAGCAACGCGAAGAACCUUACCAGGUCUUGACAUCCCGAUGCUAUUUCUAGAGAUAGAAAGUUACUUCGGUACAUCGGUGACAGGUGGUGCAUGGUUGUCGUCAGCUCGUGUCGUGAGAUGUUGGGUUAAGUCCCGCAACGAGCGCAACCCCUAUUGUUAGUUGCCAUCAUUCAGUUGGGCACUCUAGCGAGACUGCCGGUAAUAAACCGGAGGAAGGUGGGGAUGACGUCAAAUCAUCAUGCCCCUUAUGACCUGGGCUACACACGUGCUACAAUGGUUGGUACAACGAGUUGCGAGUCGGUGACGGCGAGCUAAUCUCUUAAAGCCAAUCUCAGUUCGGAUUGUAGGCUGCAACUCGCCUACAUGAAGUCGGAAUCGCUAGUAAUCGCGGAUCAGCACGCCGCGGUGAAUACGUUCCCGGGCCUUGUACACACCGCCCGUCACACCACGAGAGUUUGUAACACCCGAAG
RNAcentral lists this ribosomal RNA (1344 nucleotides) under Streptococcus thermophilus. Its description in RNAcentral is "bacterial SSU rRNA". It matches the Rfam family "Bacterial small subunit ribosomal RNA", at positions 93 to 1426 of the family's 1533-position model. Lineage: Bacteria; Bacillati; Bacillota; Bacilli; Lactobacillales; Streptococcaceae. The record is from RNAcentral.